This 102-nucleotide Y RNA is filed under the name Sapajus apella (tufted capuchin). RNAcentral describes it as "Cebus apella (Tufted capuchin) Y RNA". It matches the Rfam family "Y RNA". From Rfam's summary of the family: Y RNAs are components of the Ro ribonucleoprotein particle (Ro RNP), in association with Ro60 and La proteins. Lineage: Eukaryota; Metazoa; Chordata; Mammalia; Primates; Cebidae. The record is from Rfam by way of RNAcentral. RNAcentral also lists the same sequence under 1 other name.
GGCUGGUCUGAGUGCAGUGGUGUUUACAACUAAUUGAUCACAACCAGUUACAGAUUUCUUUGUUCCUUCUCCACUCCCACUGCUUCAUUUGACUUGCCUUUA